UGGGGAAUAUUGCACAAUGGAGGGAACUCUGAUGCAGCGACGCCGCGUGAGUGAAGAAGUAUUUCGGUAUGUAAAGCUCUAUCAGUAGGGAAGAUAAUGACGGUACCUACAUAAGAAGCCCCGGCUAAUUACGUGCCAGCAGCCGCGGUAAUACGUAAGGUCCGAGCGUUGUCCGGAAUCAUUGGGCGUAAAGGGUACGUAGGCGGGUAAGCAAGUUAGAAGUGAAAUCCUGUAGCUCAACUACAGUAAGCUUUUAAAACUGCUCAUCUUGAGAUAUGGAAGGGAAAGUGGAAUUCCUAGUGUAGCGGUGAAAUGCGCAGAUAUUAGGAGGAAUACCGGUGGCGAAGGCGACUUUCUGGCCAUAAUCUGACGCUGAGGUACGAAAGCGUGGGUAGCAAACAGG
RNAcentral lists this ribosomal RNA (403 nucleotides) under Bacteroidota bacterium. RNAcentral describes it as "Bacteroidetes bacterium partial 16S ribosomal RNA". It matches the Rfam family "Bacterial small subunit ribosomal RNA", at positions 355 to 776 of the family's 1533-position model. Lineage: Bacteria; Pseudomonadati; Bacteroidota. The record is from RNAcentral.